GCGGCGGCGACGGCGACAGCGGGCUCCCGGCGCGCGGCCGGCAGCACCACUGGCAGCGUAACCACCAGCUGCCGCCGGGCCUUGUUGAAUUGUGCCUUGCCGCGGCCAUCGUCCACUGGGUACGGGAGCGAGAGCCGCAGCCGGUAGUCAGGUUUCCUCGAGUCGAGGCACAGCAGCUUUCUCGUUACCUCCAGCGCCGCCUGCUCGGCCGAGCGCAACAGCGGCAGUUCGAUGGUGAUCACCAGCUCAUGGGGCACGGGGCUCGGGGCUGAGUCCCUGGAGCAGCGGUAAUCCUGGAGGUCCACGUGGUGGCGCUGCACCACGCUGUAGCGAGGCUCGGUGGGGGCGGGCUGCAAGGCCGC
Molecule: long non-coding RNA, 362 nt
Filed under: Homo sapiens (human)
Lineage: Eukaryota; Metazoa; Chordata; Mammalia; Primates; Hominidae
Description: LHRI_LNC2062.1
Source: RNAcentral